GGCAUGCGCAGCUACACAUGCAGUCGAGCGGUAGCACAGAGAGCUUGCUCUCGGGUGACGAGCGGCGGACGGGUGAGUAAUGUCUGGGAAACUGCCUGAUGGAGGGGGAUAACUACUGGAAACGGUAGCUAAUACCGCAUAACGUCGCAAGACCAAAGAGGGGGACCUUCGGGCCUCUUGCCAUCAGAUGUGCCCAGAUGGGAUUAGCUAGUAGGUGGGGUAACGGCUCACCUAGGCGACGAUCCCUAGCUGGUCUGAGAGGAUGACCAGCCACACUGGAACUGAGACACGGUCCAGACUCCUACGGGAGGCAGCAGUGGGGAAUAUUGCACAAUGGGCGCAAGCCUGAUGCAGCCAUGCCGCGUGUAUGAAGAAGGCCUUCGGGUUGUAAAGUACUUUCAGCGAGGAGGAAGGCAUUGUGGUUAAUAACCACAGUGAUUGACGUUACUCGCAGAAGAAGCACCGGCUAACUCUGUGAGCCAAGCCGCAAA
This 491-nucleotide ribosomal RNA is filed under the name Lelliottia amnigena. Its description in RNAcentral is "bacterial SSU rRNA". It matches the Rfam family "Bacterial small subunit ribosomal RNA", at positions 41 to 524 of the family's 1533-position model. Lineage: Bacteria; Pseudomonadati; Pseudomonadota; Gammaproteobacteria; Enterobacterales; Enterobacteriaceae. The record is from RNAcentral.